UACAGAGGUCUCAAGCGUUGUUCGGAUUCAUUGGGCGUAAAGGGUGCGUAGGCGGCGUGGUAAGUCGGGUGUGAAAUCUCGGAGCUUAACUCCGAAACUGCAUUCGAUACUGCCGUGCUUGAGGACUGGAGAGGAGACUGGAAUUUACGGUGUAGCGGUGAAAUGCGUAGAUAUGUGGAGGAACACCGAUGGCGAAGGCAGCCCCCUGGGUCAAGACUGACGCUCAUGCACGAAAGCGUGGGGAGCAAACAGG
RNAcentral lists this ribosomal RNA (253 nucleotides) under uncultured bacterium. RNAcentral's name for it is "partial 16S ribosomal RNA". It matches the Rfam family "Bacterial small subunit ribosomal RNA", at positions 524 to 776 of the family's 1533-position model. The record is from RNAcentral.